UGCAGUCGAACGAUGAUCUCCAGCUUGCUGGGGGGAUUAGUGGCGAACGGGUGAGUAACACGUGAGUAACCUGCCCUUGACUCUGGGAUAAGCCUGGGAAACUGGGUCUAAUACUGGAUAUGACUGACUAUCGCAUGGUGGUUGGUGGAAAGCUUUUGUGGUUUUGGAUGGACUCGCGGCCUAUCAGCUUGUUGGUGGGGUAAUGGCCCACCAAGGCGACGACGGGUAGCCGGCCUGAGAGGGUGGACGGCCACACUGGGACUGAGACACGGCCCAGACUCCUACGGGAGGCAGCAGUGGGGAAUAUUGCACAAUGGGCGCAAGCCUGAUGCAGCGACGCCGCGUGAGGGAUGAAGGCCUUCGGGUUGUAAACCUCUUUCAGUAGGGAAGAAGCGAAAGUGACGGUACCUGCAGAAGAAGCGCCGGCUAACUACGUGCCAGCAGCCGCGGUAAUACGUAGGGCGCAAGCGUUAUCCGGAAUUAUUGGGCGUAAAGAGCUCGUAGGCGGUUUGUCGCGUCUGCCGUGAAAGUCCGGGGCUUAACUCCGGAUCUGCGGUGGGUACGGGCAGACUUGAGUGAUGUAGGGGAGACUGGAAUUCCUGGUGUAGCGGUGAAAUGCGCAGAUAUCAGGAGGAACACCGAUGGCGAAGGCAGGUCUCUGGGCAUUAACUGACGCUGAGGAGCGAAAGCAUGGGGAGCGAACAGGAUUAGAUACCCUGGUAGUCCAUGCCGUAAACGUUGGGCACUAGGUGUG
This 754-nucleotide ribosomal RNA is filed under the name Arthrobacter sp. sm2-4. RNAcentral describes it as "bacterial SSU rRNA". It matches the Rfam family "Bacterial small subunit ribosomal RNA", at positions 56 to 824 of the family's 1533-position model. The record is from RNAcentral. Lineage: Bacteria; Bacillati; Actinomycetota; Actinomycetes; Micrococcales; Micrococcaceae.